Molecule: ribosomal RNA, 570 nt
Filed under: uncultured bacterium
Lineage: Bacteria
Description: bacterial SSU rRNA
Rfam family: Bacterial small subunit ribosomal RNA
Source: RNAcentral
GGGGGCCCGCACAAGCGGUGGAGCAUGUGGUUCAAUUCGACGCAACGCGAAGAACCUUACCUGGGCUCGAACGGCUCACGAAACCGCCUGGAAACAGGUGUUUCCCGCAAGGGACGGGAGUCGAGGUGCUGCAUGGCUGUCGUCAGCUCGUGUCGUGAGAUGUUGGGUUAAGUCCCGCAACGAGCGCAACCCUUGCCCUGUGUUGCUACUUCGUAAGAAGGCACUCUCAGGGGACCGCCAGCGAUAAGCUGGAGGAAGGUGGGGAUGACGUCAAGUCAGCAUGGCCUUUAUGUCCAGGGCUACACACGUGCUACAAUGGCCGGUACAAAGCGUUCCCAAGCCGUGAGGCGGAGGUAAUCGCAAAAAGCCGGUCUCAGUUCGGAUUGCAGGCUGCAACUCGCCUGCAUGAAGCUGGAAUCGCUAGUAAUGGCACAUCAGAACGGUGCCGUGAAUACGUUCCCGGGCCUUGUACACACCGCCCGUCACAUCACGAAAGCGGGUUGUACUAGAAGUCCGCAGGCUGACCCGCAAGGGGGGCAGCGGCCCAAGGUAUGACUCGUGAUUGGGGUG